Molecule: small nucleolar RNA, 105 nt
Filed under: Eutrema salsugineum
Lineage: Eukaryota; Viridiplantae; Streptophyta; Magnoliopsida; Brassicales; Brassicaceae
Description: Plant small nucleolar RNA R71
Rfam family: Plant small nucleolar RNA R71
About the family: R71 is a member of the C/D box family of snoRNAs containing the C (UGAUGA) and D (CUGA) box motifs. Multiple nearly identical copies of this snoRNA have been identified in Arabidopsis, and it is thought to function as a 2'-O-ribose methylation guide for 18S ribosomal RNA.
Source: Rfam by way of RNAcentral
AAUCCAUGGUGGGGGCAGUCACGUUCGUACUCCUUAAAACGUUCACAGGCUUCAUAGAAAGGUUCAGUCGGUCCUUGCUGAAAGCUUGAGAUGUUGACUUAGUAU